ACGGACUCCUACGGGAGGCAGCAGUAGGGAAUUUUUCACAAUGGACGAAAGUCUGAUGAAGCAAUGCCGCGUGAGUGAUGGCGGCCUUCGGGUUGUAAAGCUCUGUUGUAAGGGAAGAAAAAAUAAAGUAGGAAAUGACUUUAUCUUGACAGUACCUUGCCAGAAAGCCACGGCUAACUAUGUGCCAGCAGCCGCGGUAAU
RNAcentral lists this ribosomal RNA (201 nucleotides) under Mycoplasma sp. enrichment culture clone AVCTGRB14B. RNAcentral describes it as "partial 16S ribosomal RNA". It matches the Rfam family "Bacterial small subunit ribosomal RNA", at positions 331 to 524 of the family's 1533-position model. The record is from RNAcentral. Lineage: Bacteria; Bacillati; Mycoplasmatota; Mollicutes; Mycoplasmatales; Mycoplasmataceae.